CUUCCUCCUGUCGCCUGAGCAGCCAGCCACAGACUCCACCCUCCUAUCUCCUCGUCUCGUGCAUCAGAACCACUUGGAAGGCUUGUCACACGCUGCUGUGCUUCACACCCAGGAACUCUGGAUUUGGGAAGUCUGGAGUGGAGCCUGAGAAUCUGCAUCUGUAAGAGGUUCUCAGAUUUGGAGGCGACUGGAGGCAACUUGGAGGGAACAUGGGUUGGGGCUGGCGAGCUAGAGUGGGUACCAGCGUCCUACAGAUUGCUUGUGAGAAACCUUCCUCUUGGUGGAGAGAAAAGCAAGAGAGAAAGGGCCCGAACUGUAGCAAUAAGG
Mustela erminea (ermine) is the source of this 327-nucleotide long non-coding RNA. RefSeq lists it as uncharacterized. The transcript is spliced from 3 exons. The record is from RefSeq and is a predicted model, not a curated record. Lineage: Eukaryota; Metazoa; Chordata; Mammalia; Carnivora; Mustelidae.